UAUUUGCUUCCAACUGUGAUGCCCUGGGAAUUUAUGACAGCGUUGACUAUUGUUAUCUUACACCUUUUUAUUGUAAUUAGUGCAGAUCACCCUCACAGAUCAAUUCCUUCAUUGGGAAUAAAUGCUGCAAUAGUCUUUCUCCUCCCCCUGCCCCACGCAGUGUCCCCCUGGUGUGGACACUGAGGGACUAGAGCUUUGGGAAACAUUAACAAUGUUCAUUUAAUUGGCUGGUUGCCUCUAGAGAGAUGUCUGGGGAUGUGCAAAAUUAUGUUUGUGCUUACUGGGAGGGGUGAAGCCCAUUCAGUGACUUUGGCAGGUGCUGCCUGCAGAAGUGCCAGACUCUAUUGACCUGGUCCAGGGGACAAUGGUGGCUUCCUUCCCUGGAACAGGACACUGGUGGUGGGACCCUGGACCUGCCCCAGAGGCAGCAUGGAUGGAAGGUUACGACUGUUUGCCCUUGCCAGAGCUCUAUCUGAAAUCAGCUUGGUAACUCCCCUGAAAUUUCCCAAGACUAGCAGAACACAUGCUAUUCUUAGGAGUGUUUGUGUUCCUUAAGAGAAUAAAAGCCUCUGUCACACGGUGGCUGCUGUAUCACCUUUGUAAUGCUCUAGUCCUUUUCCAUUUUCAGAGUUCCUGAGAAUUUCCCCCAAGCACUCUCACCUCAUGAGAUUUAUUCAAUGAGCAGGUCCAUUUAUUUUAUUCAACAUAUACAUUCCAACAUGUGUCAGGCACUGGGUUUGACUUUGAGGGUAGAGUAUGGAGGAAUAGCAUUAUCAGGUAGUUUUGUCUCAGUGGAACUUUCAGUAUAGUGGGGAGUCAUAAUAUUUAAGAUAGCAUUGUGAUGAGCAGUGAGUUAGGGGACAUCCAUGAAGGUGUAGGGCACAGAGGAGGUGGUGGAUUUGGGGAUCAGAGGGGCUGACCUGAUGGUCAUUCUAAAGGAUGAAAAGCUGUGAUUUAGGUGAAGAAAAAGAUGGGGGUUGGGUUGUAACUCUGAAGGCUGUGCCACUGCAUGUGGGAUGGAUCUCUUGAAGACAGCAUACUGUUGGAUCUUGCUUCUUAAUCCAACUUGCCACUCUGUGCCUUUUAAUUGGGGCAUUUAGCCCAUUUACAUUAAAGGUUAAUAUUGAUAUCUGUGGAUUCGAUCCUGUCAUUAUGUUGUUAGCUGAUUAUUAUGCAGACUUGUUUGUGUGGUUGCUCUGAAGGAUAAAAAGCUGUGCUCCAUGAGAAGAGGUAGAAAAUGGGUGGGGUGGUGGGGAAGAGAAAUGUCUACUGGAAGCAGCAGCACAUGAGAUGUCUUGGAGGGAAGAGGGAAAACAGUGGGCUGGAAGAACAGUUUGACUGCAAAGAGGUAAAGAAAAGGUCAAAGAGGUGAGCAGGACCAAGUCAUGAAGAGUUUCAUCACUUCCUGAUGUAAUGUUCCAAUGCUGACAGCAGUUGUGGACUCCAUGAAUAAUGACUCUAGGUCUCAGAGUCUAGGAUAAUAGACUCCAAUCAGGACUGUCUCAGACAAACCAGUGUAUAGGGUCACUAUAUUCAAAAAUCAUGUCCAGGAGCUUUGAUUUCUAGGAUUUUAUCCCAAGGUCUCUUGAAAGCAAAUGAGAAGAUCAGCUUUACACCUUAGGAAGAUCUCAGUCUCCUGUGGUUGAUGGUUUGGAUGGGGGCAAAAAUGAUGGAGAGGGAUAGGAGGACCCUGUGUCUUCCAUGAGGUAGGCUGGGGCAUACAGUAGAUAGGAUUUGCUCCAUUUUGC
Molecule: long non-coding RNA, 1748 nt
Filed under: Macaca fascicularis (crab-eating macaque)
Lineage: Eukaryota; Metazoa; Chordata; Mammalia; Primates; Cercopithecidae
Description: lncRNA (ENSMFAG00000052937.1)
Source: RNAcentral